This 207-nucleotide long non-coding RNA is filed under the name Lathyrus oleraceus (garden pea). Its description in RNAcentral is "Pisum sativum (pea) long non-coding RNA (PSAT_LNC040344)". The record is from RNAcentral. Lineage: Eukaryota; Viridiplantae; Streptophyta; Magnoliopsida; Fabales; Fabaceae.
UUGCUCGAACACUUUGAAGCUUUGAGCAAAAAAAUCAAAAUGGCCAAAAUGCAAAUGGGAGAGAAUGUGUGUUUUUUGAUCGUGGCUGCUGUUCUCUAGGGUUCAAAUGGCCAGAAAAAUGCCCUUAUAUGUGCUGUUUAACCCUCUACUAAUGACAAGCUAAACUUGCUUAAGCUUAAUGAAGUAAUUUGCCAAAAGUUGCUAAAC